CAGCAGCCGCGGUAAUACGAAGGGGGCUAGCGUUGUUCGGAAUUACUGGGCGUAAAGCGCACGUAGGCGGAUAUUUAAGUCAGGGGUGAAAUCCCGCAGCUCAACUGCGGAACUGCCUUUGAUACUGGGUAUCUUGAGUAUGGAAGAGGUUAGUGGAAUUGCGAGUGUAGAGGUGAAAUUCGUAGAUAUUCGCAGGAACACCAGUGGCGAAGGCGGCUAACUGGUCCAUAACUGACGCUGAGGCACGAAAGCUAGGGGAGCAAACAGGAUUAGAUACCCCGGUAGUCCCUGUCUCUUAUAC
This 301-nucleotide ribosomal RNA is filed under the name uncultured bacterium. RNAcentral describes it as "partial 16S ribosomal RNA". It matches the Rfam family "Bacterial small subunit ribosomal RNA", at positions 509 to 807 of the family's 1533-position model. The record is from RNAcentral.